Molecule: long non-coding RNA, 297 nt
Filed under: Homo sapiens (human)
Lineage: Eukaryota; Metazoa; Chordata; Mammalia; Primates; Hominidae
Description: HSALNT0341069
Source: RNAcentral
CACCUGCCCGCGGACAAGGUCACAGCUUUGCAGGGGGUUGACAUGGGCUGUGGCUUCCUGGAAAUGUCACCCUCACCAGAGCCUUUUACAUGGAUGUGAAUUUUGAGACAUGAAGGAGGGGCUGCACCCCAUGGACCUGGGUUCCUGGAGUCUUUGACGGCUUUGUGUGGUCGACUUGUUUUGAUACUGAGGACACCCCUGCUGGCUGUUAAUUUCAGGGCAAGGGAUAUGAGGCCAUUAUUUUAAGUGAAAUAACUCAAGAAUGGAAAAUAAAAUACUAUUAUUUUUCACUUAUAA